GCAAGAUCCCCUGGAGAAUGAAAUGGCUACCCACCCCAGUAUUCUUGCCUGGAGAGUCCCAUGGAUGGAGGAGCCUGGCGGGUAACAGUCCAUGGUGUCACAAAGAGUCAGACAUGACUGGCAGACUAACACUUUUGUUCCAUGAGGUGACUCUGGGCGGGUUCUUGGAUGGUUUGGGGAUGGAGGCUGGAAGUGGCUUUAAUAAUUGAUCAUGCCUCCUUUGAUCUCCUUUAUUAUAUAACAAACCAGUAAAUACACAUAACUGUUUCUGGAGUUCUGUGAACCAUUCUAGCAAAUGACUGAGAAGCGGGGCGUGGAAACCCUGAAUUAUAGCCAGUAGGUCAGAAGUUUGGGUAGCUCUGGACUUGGAAUUGGCAUUUGAAAUGGGGGUGGUUUUGUGGGACUGAGCCCUUAACCUGUGAGAUCUGAUGUUACUGCAUCCAGAUGGCUAACUCUAAAAAUCAGGUACUGUCAAACUGUAGGGGUACCUAGCUUAUAUCAACCAAGAAUGGGAGAAUUGGUUGUGGUUGUUGGAAAACACCCCCUGGGUCUAUCUAUUUCUAAAUCGGAAGGGCCAUUGUAACAGUAACAGAAAACUUUACUGAGGAUUUGGGCUCAGAUGGCAAAGAGGCUGGUAAACGUUCAAGCUAAAUUCAAGUAAUUUAGUAUUUCAAGCUCUAAUUCUGUUAACAUCCUGAUUAAAUGCUGUCAUACAAUGGAGGAUUCCACGGACAGAGGAGCCUGGCAGACUACAGUCCAUGGGGUCGUGGAGUCAGACACGACUGAUGGACUAACACUUUCACUUAAUUUUUCAACCUCUCACUAUGUCCUUCUGUGGUGGAAGGGGCCAGGGCACUCUCUGGGGUUUCUUUCAUAAGGACACUAAUCCCAUUCCUGAGAGCUCCAUCUGCAUGACCUAAUCACCCCAAAGCCUCACCUCCUAAUACCAACACAUUGGGGGUUAGAUUUCAGCAUUUUUGGGGGACAUGAAUGUUAGUCUAUGGCAGCUGAUUUAGCUCCCAGUAUCAUGCC
Bos taurus (domestic cattle) is the source of this 1032-nucleotide long non-coding RNA. Lineage: Eukaryota; Metazoa; Chordata; Mammalia; Artiodactyla; Bovidae. The record is from Ensembl.